Panicum virgatum (switchgrass) is the source of this 3484-nucleotide RNA transcript. It is a transcript of the gene named serine/threonine-protein kinase EDR1-like, with no coding region annotated. The record is from RefSeq and is a predicted model, not a curated record. The transcript is spliced from 17 exons. Lineage: Eukaryota; Viridiplantae; Streptophyta; Magnoliopsida; Poales; Poaceae.
GCAGCCCCCAGCGCGUACCGACGCCUCCCCACAGCUGGAACCGUACUUUACUAGCAGUAAUCUUCCCACCCGCCUCCCUCGGCGCCUCCUCCCUCCCUCGCCCGCUCUCGCUUCGCUGUUCUCCCUCUGUCACCUCCUCUGCCGGCGAAGCGUGGCUCCUGCGACCGGCCUCCCACCCGCUCCUCCUCCGCGCGCCGAGCGCCACGCCACGCGGCCGAGCACGGCCGCCGCUCCGCUCUCGUCUACCGCUAGCGGAGCGGAGAUCCGUCCGGACUUGAACUGGGGUCUCUGCUCUGUGUUGAUAUGAACUAAAUUGGUCGGUGGUCAUAUUGAAUACAAAGCUAUUAUUGUACGUCAUAUUCUGUCAUGCUAAAUACGGUGCCCAUAGGUUCGGUUUGAGGAGCUUCACUGUCUGAGAAAUGGACGAAACACCAACUAGUUCCGGGCAGUCUGAAGCUAGUUCAAGUGAACCUAGCUGGUGGCCACCAGACUUUUUGGAGAAGAUAGAGUCUGCUUCCAUAUCAAGGAAACAGGAUGUUUUGGGUAAUCUAAGGUCCUCAUCCUGGAAGGCUUCUCAAUUACUGUGGUCGCAAGGAGCUUACUCAGGGUUAAUCCCUAAUGGUUUCUAUUCAAUCAUCCCGGAUAAAAAGCUGAAGGAGACUUUCCCAACGAUUCCAUCAUUGGAUGACCUGCAAGCUCUUGAAGCAGAUGGGCUUAAGGCUGACAUAAUUAUUGUAGACACUGUGAGGGAUAAGAAGGUUUUCAUGUUGAAGCAGCUUAGCGCUGCACUUGUGAAAGGGUUAAAUUCUAGCCCAGCAUUGGUGAUAAAGAAAAUAGCAGGUUUGGUUUUUGACUGCUUCAAGCGACAAAAUCCUGAUUCAAGUCCAGCAAGAGGUUUGACUGAAGAUACCCAUUUCUUUGGAAAUAAAGGACCACAACUUCUAGGACAGAUAAGACAAGGGUCAUGCCGACCCCGAGCUAUUCUCUUCAAAGUUCUUGCAGAUGCUGUUGGCCUUGAGAGUAAACUUGUAGUGGGUCUACCUGAUGACGGUGCUGUUGGAUUUGUGGACUCUUACAAACAUAUGUCUGUGGUAGUUUCACUGAACUCUAUGGAGCUGCUAGUUGAUCUUAUGAGAUUCCCAGGCCAGUUGAUCCCUUUUUCAGCUAAAGCUAUCUUUAUAUCUCAUAUAUCUGCUGCGGGUGAAAGCGACUCAGCUGAAAAUGAUUCAUGUGAUUCUCCCCUUGAGCCUAACAGCCCUCUUUAUGGAUUGUCUGAUAAAGUUGAAGCUGAAGGAAUUGAAUCUUCAUCAAAUCUAUCUGGGCGAUCGUUACGUAAUAUGAUGUUGAGAUCAAGAACAUUUUCAGAGGGGAAAUUAAGCACGUCAUGCAGUGAACCAAAUAUAGCAAAUGCCUUUUGGAGGCGCAGCCAAAGGAGAGGAGUUGCUGAGGAACCCCGUGGUGCUAGUUCAAGUCCUGAGCAUCCAUUAAUGAAAGCAAGGGGAAGAUCUAUACUUGGUGGUGAGAAGCAACCAUUUCAAGAAUACACAGAAAGUGGUGCUGCAUCAAGAUCAGAUGGUCUUGAUGGCACUUCAACAUCUAAUGCUCGAAGAAUAAGACGAAGAAGCAUUAGCAUCACGCCUGAGAUUGGAGAUGACAUUGUGAGGGCAGUUCGGGCUAUGAAUGAAACACUAAAGCAAAAUCGCCUCCAAAGGGAUCAUGUUGAAGGUUCAUGCUCACAUGUUACAGAGGACCAAAGCAAUGCAAAUGACUGCCCAAAUGAUGAUGACGCAUCUCGGAGAGUUGGUGCUACUGACAAUGGCUCAAGAAACCGAACAGGUUCUACUCAGAAGGCCAUGUCAUUACCUUCUUCACCACAUGAAUAUAGGGGUCAAGUUACUGAAAAAAGUGAUGAUUUUAUGAGUAAAGAGAAGAUGGCAUUGGCAUGGAACAAAGUAUUCCAGAGCUCCCCAUUUCUUAAUAAACCAUUAUUGCCCUUUGAGGAAUGGAACAUAGAUUUCUCCGAGAUAACUAUUGGCACACGGGUUGGAAUAGGAUUCUUCGGAGAGGUUUUCCGUGGUAUAUGGAAUGGAACUGAUGUUGCCAUCAAAGUGUUUCUAGAACAGGAUCUAACAACUGAAAAUAUGGAAGACUUUUGCAAUGAGAUAUUCAUCCUGAGCCGGCUACGACACCCAAAUGUUAUAUUGUUUCUUGGUGCAUGCAUUACGCCUCCACACCUGUCAAUGGUUACGGAAUAUAUGGAAAUGGGAUCACUGUACUAUCUCAUCCACAUGAGUGGUCAGAAAAAGAAGCUCAGUUGGCGUAGGAGGUUGAAAAUUAUACGUGAUAUAUGCAGUACCGCUGACAUGUAUGAAUUGGUAAAUAACAUCGUAUAUGAGGAUGGUAUGCGGGACCUGGGGUAACAUGUUUAUGACACAAUGCUUGCUGCCUUUUCGUUACCGACUUACUCAAGUCUCCAGUGACCAGUGUUCCUGAGCAGUUUGACCUUUAAAAUAUUCUGAAUCUUUCAAGAGAACUGUAUUUGAUGCAAUUCUUUGCCUGUUAGACUUUAGUCUUUUCUAGUCCUUUUUAUUAUGAAUUGAUUAUCUGAAAGAUCUUGUUUUGUUCGCUUGAAAGGGGUUUGAUGUGCAUACACCGCAUGAAGAUAGUUCACAGGGAUCUCAAAAGUGCAAACUGCCUGGUGAACAAGCAUUGGACUGUCAAGAUAUGUGACUUUGGUUUAUCUCGAGUGACGAUUGAUAGUCCAAUGACUGAUAACUCCUCUGCUGGCACCCCAGAAUGGAUGGCCCCUGAGCUUAUCCGGAAUGAACCUUUCACAGAGAAAUGUGAUAUAUUUAGCCUCGGUGUUAUUAUGUGGGAGCUGUGCACAUUGAGUCGCCCAUGGGAGGGCAUCUCUCCCGUUCAAGUGGUGUACUCGGUUGCUAAUGAAGGGUCACGGCUCAAGAUUCCUGAAGGACCUCUCGGCAGGUUAAUUGCAGAUUGCUGGGCAGAGCCUGAGAAUCGGCCGAGCUGCCAGGAGAUCCUCACCCGCCUGCUGGACUGCGAAUACGCUGUCAGCUGAAGUACUUGCUCACCCGCCACCUGAUUGAUGCAGAGGUGGGCACGUUUUUCUUGUAUAAAACCUGUAAAAAGCAGCCUUUCGACUCUGCCAACCGGCGAGGUUACAUAUAUUGAAGCCCUAUAUUUCUGCUUUAUGACGGCGAUCCGUUCUCCCCCAAAAGAUGUAAAAAACUGUUUCCCCCGGUCAUAUAAGAACAUUUCUGGCCAAGAAAUGUUCCUCGCGUCGCAGGGACCGAGCCUAGUUGCUGUUAUGCUGCUGUAUAUUACCUGUUAUGGAACCUGGAUAGUUGCACGUCCUCGGGAGCUGGGUGAACCAUAUGGUUGCCUGAUUGUCUCCAAGACUAUGUCUCAGUACUCUGAUGAAAAUCACAAACAAGUGGAAGUGGAGAGUACUUUUUUUUCGCUA